UCCCUUAGAGAUAGGGUGAGAAGCUCUGCCAUCCGGGAGGAACUCAAAGUAAAGCCGCUGCUCCUCCACAUGGAGAGGAGCCAGAUGAGGUGGUUCGGGCAUCUGGUCAGGAUGCCACCCGAACGCCUCCCUAGGGAGGUGUUUAGGGCACGUCCAACCGGUAGGAGGCCACGGGGAAGACCCAGGACACGUUGGGAAGACUAUGUCUCCCGGCUGGCCUGGGAACGCCUCGGGAUCCCCCGGGAAGAGCUAGACGAAGUGGCUGGGGAGAGGGAAGUCUGGGCUUCCCUGCUUAGGCUGCUGCCACCGCGACCCCACCUCGGAAAAGCGGAAGAUGAUGGAUGGAUGGAUGGAUGGUAUAACAGCGGUAUAUGAAAACGAUGUUACUAAUGCUGUUACUUUUACCGGUAACGAGUAAGCUAAUAACUUUUAUGUACGCUACAACGCUGUUACGAUGCGUUUUAUGUAAUCUGGCAUGCUACUUUUGAUGUGAUUGUAUGUCAACAAGACAGCGUUAGAAGCACAGAAGGGUUAGUGCAGGUAAUAUCUUUUUACUAAUGAAAGCAACCCCCGGAAGUAAUUAUGAACACGAUAUCAAAUAGAAAGAGGCCUCAUCCACACACAAACAAAAACAUUCAACAGAACUAUCUUAACUGCCACUGCUAAGCUAAAAAAUACAGCUGAACUAUUCUGCGAUGUCUGGGCGCUGAAGUCCCACGUCACUUGGCAAAAGGCACAGCUUUUUAAAGGCACACACACACUCUGCUCUCAUGAAAUGUCUCUCAACUGCAUAUGCUAGAUAUUUAAAACUUUUCUUUUUCAAGUAACACAUUAAUUACAAAACCCGUUUCCAUAUGAGUUGGGAAAUUGUGUUAGAUGUAAAUCCAAACGGAAUAAUUUUUUUUACAAAUAAUAAUUAACUUAGAAUUUCAUGGCUGCAAUACGUGCCAAAGUAGUUGGGAAAGGGCAUGUUCACCACUGUGUUACAUCACCUUUUCUUUCAACAACACUCAAUAACCGUUUGGGAACUGAGGAAACUAAAUGUUGAAGCUUGGAAGGUGGAAUUCUUUCCCAUUCUUGUUUUAUGUAGAGCUUCAGUCUCCUCUGUCGUAUUUUACGCUUCAUAAUGCACCACACAUUUUUGAUAGGACUGCAGGCCGGCCAGGAAAGUACCUGCACUCUUUUUUUAUGAAGCUGAACACGUGCUGAAUGUGGCUUGGCAUUGUCUUGCUGAAAUAAGCAGGGGCGUACAUGAAAAAGUCGGCGCUUAAAUGGCAGCAAAUGUUGUUCCAAACAGAUGGGUAACUUACAGAUGUGUAAGUUACCCAUGCCUUGGGCACUAAUGCACCCCCAUACCAUCACAGAUGCUGGCUUUUGAACUUUGCGUCGAUAACAUUCUGGAUGGUUCGCUUCCCCUUUGGUCCGGAUGAAACGGUGUCCAAUAUUUCCAAAAAUAAUUUGAAAUGUGGGCUCGUUAGACCACAGAACACCUUCCACUUUGCAUCAGCCCAUCUUAGAUGAUCUCGGGCCCAGAGAAGCCGGCGGCGUUUCUGGAUGUUGAUAAUUGGCUUUCGCUUUGCAUAAUAGAGCUUUAACUUGCACUUACAGAUAUAGCAACACACUGUAUUUAGUGACAGUGGUUUUCUGAAGUGUUCCUGAACUCAUGUGGUGAUAUCCUUUAGAGAUUGAUGUCGGUUUUUGAUACAGUGCCGUCUGAGGGAUCGAAGGUCACAGUUAUUCAAUGUUGGUUUCCAGACAUGCCGCUUACGUGGAGUGAUUUCUCCGGAUUCUCUGAACCUUUUGAUGAUAUCAUGGAGCGUAGAUGUUGAAAUCCCUAAAUUUCUUGCAAUUGCACUUUGAGAAAGGUUGUUCUUAAACUGUUUGACUAUUUGCUCACGCAGUUGUGGACAAAGGGGUGUACCUCGCCCCAUCCUUUCCUGUGAAAGACUGAGCAUUUUUUGGGAAGCUGUUUUUAUAGCCAAUCAUGGCACCCACCUGUUCCCAAUUAGCCUGCACACCUGUGGGAUGUCCCAAAUAAGUGUUUGAUGAGCAUUUCUUAACUUUAUCAGUAUUUAUUGCCACCUUUCCCAACUUGUUUGUUGCGUGUUGCUGGCAUCAAUUUCUAAAGUUAAUGAUUAUUUGCACCAAAAAAAUGUUUAUCAGUUUGAACAUCAAAUAUCAAUCAAUCAAUCAAUGUUUACUUAUAUAGCCCUAAAUCACUAGUGUCUCAAAGGGCUGCACAAACCACUACGACAUCCUCGGUAGGCCCACAUAAGGGCAAGGAAAACUCACACCCAGUGGGACGUCGGUGACAAUGAUGACUAUGAGAACCUUAGAGAGGAGGAAAGCAAUGGAUGUCGAGCGGGUCUAACAUGAUACUGUGAAAGUUCAAUCCACAAUGGAUCCAACACAGUCGCAAGAGUCUAGUCCAAAGCGGAUCCAACACAGCAGCGAGAGUCCCGUUCACAGCGGAGCCAGCAGGAAACCAUCCCAAGCGGAGGCGGAUCAGCAUCGCAGAGAUGUCCCCAGCCGAUACACAAGCAAAUAUAUGUUGUCUUUGUAGCAUAUUCAACUGAAUAUGGGUUGAAAAGGAUUUGCAAAUCAUUGUAUUCUGUUUAUAUUUACAUCUAACACAAUUUCCCAACUCAUAUGGAAACGGGGUUUGUACUUAAUUUAAUAAUUAUUUACAUUUAUGAAAGAGUAAUUCUGUUUGUAAUAGAAUUUUUAGUCAAGUAACGACUAUUAUUAUUGCUUUUUAAAACAGAUAUUCCAAACAUUGUUAAUUGAUAAACUGUUUUAUCAGGAUAUGGUGUAUUUGCUCUUGCAUCAAUUUAAAAAGGUUCUUUUGUGGUCGAGUACCGAGGGAAGUUCAUCUCAAGACAUGAGCGGGACAAGAGACAGAAACCCUCUAUAAAUAUCUUUACUAUUUAUCUGGCAUUAUAUGCUCAUAAUGUUAACAACAAAAAGUGCUGAUAAUGUUAUAAUUAAUAAGUUCUAACAUUAUUUUUAUGUGUUUUGUUGCAGACACCAACUGUUGAUGUUCUAUCUCAACAUUCUCCAGAUUCAUGUGACCGAUAAACCGACUUCAUCCCUCCAACAGACACCAACUGUUGGGGUUCUAUCUCAACAUUCUCCAGAUUCAGAUGUGAGCGAUAAACCGACUUCAUCCCUCCAACAGAAACCAACUGUUGAGGUUCCAUCUCAACAUUCUCCAGAUUCAGAUGUGAGCCAUUAACUGACUUCAUCCCUCCAACAGAAACCAACUGUUGAGGUUCUAUCUCAACAUUCUCUAGAUUCAGAUGACAGCCAUAAACCGACUUCAUCCCUCCAACAGAUUGACAGCAGGACAAAUCGCUGGAAGUAGGUAUGUCUCAAGCUUCUUCCACUUGGUCCACUCCAAAGCGGGCUGCAAAGGGGAAGAAGUGGAAGCAGUUGAAUGACACAUGUUGCAUUUUGUAACUGGCAACAAAGUACCAGGUAAAAAAGAUUGUGAAGCCUGCCUCCAUAAAGAACUAGUAGCUCUACAGGACAGAGAUUGGCUUGCCAUCAAGUACUACAUCCAUAACAGAAUUAUAUUAAAAAAAGGGGAAAAAAAUGUUUUCCCACAUCUACUGUGGUAGUUUGAGUAUGUUACCAGCAAUUAAAAAAGCAAAAUAAA
Molecule: long non-coding RNA, 3658 nt
Organism: Nerophis ophidion (straightnose pipefish)
Lineage: Eukaryota; Metazoa; Chordata; Actinopteri; Syngnathiformes; Syngnathidae
Exons: 6
Source: RefSeq, a predicted model, not a curated record